GUUUGCAGCCUGCAGCUGGGAGAUUUGAAGUCAGACUUCCAGGAUUGCCGCAUGGAGCUGCAGAGGGAGUGAGCAUGGGGCUGGAGGACCUGCCCCGCCGGCUGACACUCCCACAGCAAGGCGGGCCCGCCAAGGAAGCACUCCACAUCCGCUAGAAAUGCUGGCAGAAAGCACUGGCCACCAUACAGGACAGACCACACCACAGCUCCAUACCCAGCGUCUGCCUGGAGGCUCCCCCACGCUGAGGUCCGGGAGAAUGCCUGGUUUCAGUCAUUUCCGGACUAACUGUGACAACGCGUGAGCAGGGAGCACCGUGCGAGUCUCCGGGAGGGAAUCCUCCUGGGGCCCAGAGACUCCUCCACCCCUGGGGAGGGCAGACAGGCUCGGGAGGGCCUGGCCAGGCCACUGGAGGCUGGCAGGGAGCAGGCAUGUCCACCCGCAAGCCUGGGAGGCUAACUCUGGCAUUCCUGGCCGGAGCCGCCAUGCUCAUUGGUGGGCCAGUUUGGGACAUCCCCGUACUCAAAGACCAUAUGGC
This 535-nucleotide long non-coding RNA is filed under the name Homo sapiens (human). Its description in RNAcentral is "non-protein coding lnc-BRD3OS-1:3". The record is from RNAcentral. Lineage: Eukaryota; Metazoa; Chordata; Mammalia; Primates; Hominidae.